CUUUGCACAAAUCCUUGGGUUUUCAUUACUUACAAAAUAUGAAAAAAUGCCAAAAUGCUGAGCAAAAAGUGCAUAGGUGCUCCAUACAUUAUGUAGCGGCAUAUUGUUCUUUGACAGCAUUGUAUUCAACAGUCUACCCUUUUUUAGAUGGUCAAAAGCGCUUGUUUGAAAUCAGAGAGAGUGCCCAGGAAAACUCCUUUCGUCAUCGUGGAGAGUGUUUAAGCCGACAGUUUGGACUCAACGAUUUGAGAACCACGACUCCAGUGGCCGAGCGAAAGGUUUGCUCAACAAGGAAAGAUCUGAAAGAAUUAAUUUGAUAUUGAAGAUCUCUAAGAAUUCAAGAAGCCCUAGUACUCAGGCUAAUGCACAAGAGCCCGCAUGUACAAAAAAGUGGCCAAGUGCCUUCUCACCGGCGCUCGUAUUGCAUGUGUUUUCAUACUAUCUGAUUCUCGAGUUCUCUAAUGGAGUUUGGGCAAUUUGGUCCAUACUAUACUACUCCAAUGCAUAUUAAAAUAUGCGUUAAUGUCGAAAUGAAUUUCAAAAUUUGGUGAUAGAACAUAAAACAAACAAAGAAAAGAACAAAACUAAUACAUUUUCUUUUGACUAAUGUAAGUUUAAAAUUAUCAGUAUCAACUUUGAAAAAAAGGUAUGAUUACUUUUGUAUGUGCAUAUUAGUUGCAUAUAUGCAUAAUUGUAAAACCGAUUGCAAGGAAACUGAGUAUCAAUCCUUUAACGAUUCACGAAAGUAUUAGAAUACGAAGAAAAAGUUAACAGCAGUGCUUCUUUAAUUUGAAUGUAUUACCUGUGUUUCUAAAUCUCAAGACAUCAUGUAUCUUUUUACAAUUGUAGUAUUAGUAUGACUCAUUGUGUCACUAUAAACAAAAAUGAAAGGUAAGAAAAUAUAAAAAUAUGAUAUGAAUAAUUUGGGUAAAAUCUAUACAAUUAAAGUGUACAAACGAGAGAGUUUGUAGAUAUAUAAUGAC
Molecule: long non-coding RNA, 983 nt
Organism: Exaiptasia diaphana
Lineage: Eukaryota; Metazoa; Cnidaria; Anthozoa; Actiniaria; Aiptasiidae
Exons: 2
Source: RefSeq, a predicted model, not a curated record